GAUGAACGCUGGCGGCGUGCCUAAUACAUGCCAGUCGAGCGAACAGAUGAGGAGCUUGCUCCUCUGACGUUAGCGGCGGACGGGUGAGUAACACGUGGAUAACCUACCUAUAAGACUGGGAUAACUUCGGGAAACCGGAGCUAAUACCGGAUAAUAUAUUGAACCGCAUGGUUCAAUAGUGAAAGACGGUUUUGCUGUCACUUGUAGAUGGAUCCGCGCCGCAUUAGCUAGUUGGUAAGGUAAAGGCUUACCAAGGCAACGAUGCGUAGCCGACCUGAGAGGGUGAUCGGCCACACUGGAACUGAGACACGGUCCAGACUCCUACGGGAGGCAGCAGUAGGGAAUCUUCCGCAAUGGGCGAAAGCCUGACGGAGCAACGCCGCGUGAGUGAUGAAGGUCUUCGGAUCGUAAAACUCUGUUAUUAGGGAAGAACAAAUGUGUAAGUAACUAUGCACGUCUUGACGGUACCUAAUCAGAAAGCCACGGCUAACUACGUG
Molecule: ribosomal RNA, 497 nt
Filed under: uncultured bacterium
Lineage: Bacteria
Description: partial 16S ribosomal RNA
Rfam family: Bacterial small subunit ribosomal RNA
Source: RNAcentral